GAAGUCACGGUCAGAGUCUACUGUCCUCAUGCGAUGGAAAGUGAGCGAGAGUGACGAGACCACGAGCAUUGUCAAAAUCAAGCAUUAGGCAUGCAUCUGGGAGCGGAGCAGCUACUGCUGUCAGUGAGAUAAGUGUCUGUUCUGGUGAGAGCUCUGCUCACGGCCCACCUGGCUCCAGAGGGCAGCGGAGCAUCUGCAGGAAGCGGAUCUGCACAAUCUAGCUGUUUCGCUUUGCAGUGCAGCCGAGGAGCGCUCUUGUAAUGUUGGAGGAGCAGUCGUACUGAGAUUGGUCAGAUGAGAGAUCGGCCAACCUGUGGCAGAGACCAAGGAAGGAACAGCCACCCGGAGCCCAUCCCUAGGGAUGGAAGCCGGACAAUGAUCUGCAGAUACCACGGAGAAAGAAGUGAAGGGUAAGAGCCCACCCCCGUUGUGAGAUGGAAAGCACCAAGAGCCGUGAGACCACAAGCGUUGUCGAUGCCAGCCUAUGGCGAUGCCGUCGAUCUGGGAGUGGAGCAGCCGUCACCAUCAGUGAGAUAAGUGUCUGGUUUGGGGAGGACUCCGGUAACGGCCCACCUGCCUCCAGGCUGAGACUUGUCAUUAGCUGGGGCUCGGUUUGUAGGAAAAGAUUCCUGACCUGCUGUGGUUACGAGGGAGACAAGGUCCCCAUUUUCAGGGGCAGGUCUUUUCUCUGUCCACAAACAGUGUGUCCUACGCAGCAGAAGGUUGGAUCGAGGAGGAUGACUCCAGCUGUUGAGUUUCUUGACUCCAUCCCACAUUU
Long non-coding RNA from Mauremys reevesii (Reeves's turtle), 778 nucleotides. RefSeq lists it as uncharacterized. The record is from RefSeq and is a predicted model, not a curated record. Lineage: Eukaryota; Metazoa; Chordata; Testudines; Geoemydidae. The transcript is spliced from 4 exons.